This 205-nucleotide long non-coding RNA is filed under the name Setaria viridis. Its description in RNAcentral is "long non-coding RNA (SVIR_LNC004732)". The record is from RNAcentral. Lineage: Eukaryota; Viridiplantae; Streptophyta; Magnoliopsida; Poales; Poaceae.
GGAUUCGUAGAAGUUGGAAGGAUUCGGUGAGAUUUUGAGUCGAAUCGAUACUUGAAUUUGUCAUUGAGUUCCAAUUUAUUUUUAUAGGGCCAUAGAGAACAUAGAUUGGUUCAUGUCAAAUUUUGGGGAUUUUUCGGAUCCGUUUAAUAAUUUUUAUUUAUUAAUUGCAAGUAUAUGAAUUUAAUAGAUAUAAAUUCAAUAUGAG